CUGGAACAGGUUGCCCAGAGAAGCUGUGGGUGCCCCAACCCUGGAAGUGUUCAAGGCUAGGCUGGAUGGAACUUUGAGCAGAAACUCUGUGGAAAAGGAGCAAAGACAAUCCAGAUGGCUGUGAAAGUGAAGACUAUGUGGGAAAUCAUGCAAGAGAUACAUUGCCUGCAGAAUGGGGAAAAACAUUAAAUCUUGGAGUUGCUGAUGCAGCAAUUAAUAUUGCAACCUUCACUGCCUUCAACGCACGGAAGAAAAGGGUCUAAAAGAGUCCAAAAACAGCAGGGUGACCACGACUUCAGCAGGCAUGAAUGGGAGGUGAGGAGGCGUGCUCUAGGACACUUGGCGUCUGAAGACCUCAACUUGAGCAGUAAUUAUAGAAGAACACAGUGUUCCACAGCUGAAAUUCAGAUGCAACCCUUUGGACACCUACAUAACAUUUUUCAGUGGUUUUUGUUUGUUUGUUUUGUUUGUUCUUGUGUUGGUUGGUUGUUUUUUUUUUUUGUCUCUUGUUAGCUUGCUCCAGAGCACACUUCAAGUGCCAAACAGAAGGAAACACUCGAACAGAACUCAAAUACCUGGCUCUCCUUAGUUUGCUUAAAACAGUGGGAUAAUUCCUCCGGUUUCAGCAAAACUCACCCUGAUUUACAGCAGCACAAGUGAGAUUAGUAUACUCUCACUUUUUUGUGUUUUAUGUCCAACACUGUGAGGACAAAAAAAGACCCUUUAUACCUGACCAAGCUGCCUGAAAUGAGACCUUUAAUUUGGCAUAUCCUUAUUAACAGAAAUUAAUGAAAGAUGUAGUAAAGCACACUCAUUCCUCAAAGCAGCAUACAGAGACAAGUAGUUUUAAACACACCUGCUAAUAAUUGUCAGAACAAAAUCUCAGGAACAUAGGACCAGCACCCCAAUAUCUUUGUCUUCUUAGUGGGUACUGUUUUGCUGAGAAAAUUAUGGCUCCUUAGUCAACACCCAUGGUUACUCUUAAAAGCUUUUCUUUUUCACACAUGAAACCGUAAAGUUCAAAUGAGACUUUUUUGACCUCACACAUUUGUUAUUUGUGAGAUGACUAAUAAAAGUAAUUAUCAGUAGUCUUUGACA
This 1098-nucleotide long non-coding RNA is filed under the name Parus major (Great Tit). Its description in RNAcentral is "lncRNA (ENSPMJG00000012749.1)". The record is from RNAcentral. Lineage: Eukaryota; Metazoa; Chordata; Aves; Passeriformes; Paridae.